AUUUUCUGAUUUUUUUUAUCGCCCUUUUGUCAUAUCCCGCUAUAGCCAUGAAAUCCUUACUUUCCGAAUCUUUUCUAGCAUCAAGGCUCUUUGAUUUUGAAGUUGAAUUUCUAUAAUCAUUGCAACUUUUUUCUCCUUUUCAAGAGGGAAAACAACGGAAAUAAGUGUUUUGAAAUUUUAGGUGAUUAAUCAAUUUUUUUGGAAAGAUGAAAAUUGGAGUGGAAAAGACCAUAGCCAGGAGGAAGCGAGGAGGUAGAGCGGACGGUGAUUGACCUUACAAGGGGAUACGGAUGAGGAAGUGGGGCACAUGGGUGUCUAAGGUAAGAGAACCCAACAAGUGCUCAAGGAUUCGGCUUGGCUCAUAUUUAACUCCAGUGGUAGCAGCUCGAGCCUACAACACGGCAGUCUUCUAUUUGAAAGGGCCAUUAGUAAGGCUUAAUUUCCCAGAAUUUUUGACGGGAGAAAGUAUCGACGGAACUUGCGAU
Molecule: unclassified non-coding RNA, 485 nt
Filed under: Hevea brasiliensis (rubber tree)
Lineage: Eukaryota; Viridiplantae; Streptophyta; Magnoliopsida; Malpighiales; Euphorbiaceae
Source: RNAcentral